RNAcentral lists this long non-coding RNA (1345 nucleotides) under Marmota monax (woodchuck). The record is from RNAcentral. Lineage: Eukaryota; Metazoa; Chordata; Mammalia; Rodentia; Sciuridae.
UUCCAGCUAUCAGCUGUCUGUGGGGUGGAAUAUUGAAGACCCUGAAGCCGCUUCAUCAAGAGUCUUCUGUGCGUGCCUCUCCUCAGGUUUUUGAGAAUGAACUCUCUGGGAGUCCCUUGAAGCCUCUUCCCCCUCUGUGGACCUCAGUGGCUGCUCUUCCUCCUCGCAUGGCAGCCACUGCCAUUUGCAGAGUGCUCACUGGCUGCGAGGUACCUAGCCAACCUUCCUCUGUAGCCCAAGGGGGAGGAUCCAGGCUUGGGGGUGGACCCUGCACUCUCAACCCCACCCCUUAGCUUUGAAUUCCAGCUCAGUCUCCAAGCAGCUGAGUGACUGGAGGAGAAGGUAAACAGCUUCACCUCUUGGAACCUCAGCUGCCUCACCCCCUGUGGACCUCCCAAACACACCCAGGGGGUGAAUGAAGUGUGAAGAGCCAGACCUGGUGGGUGGGGGUGCACUGCCUGGGAGCUUCAACUAGCACAGGUUGAACCCCAGCCAGGGCUGGUGAGUCCUAAAUGGGAGGGCAGCCCUUUGUGGGGCCUGAGGGCCAGGCAAGGACGCCAAUCCAAUUGCUACUUUCUAUAUGACCUUGGAUGAGGAUUAAAUGAGUUAAUAGAAAUCAAGCACCUGUAGACAAUGUCUGGCACCAAGUGCUGCAUUAAGUUAAUAUGUCCAGACUUUCAGUCUCAGACUUGGUUCUUCCCUCUAUAACCUGUGACCCUCAUUGGCUCUACUGGUCACUGCUUCUGCAGCCACACCUGCUUGUCAGAGACCCCCAAUCUCUCCCGACUCCCAAUCAGCAAACUAUCAACCCUCCGUUUUGAGUUGGGGUCCUCUCCUCUCUGGGGCCACUAGUCUUGGGGCCCAGCAGCCUGCUGGGUAACUCAUUCCUCACUGCCUUUUCCCAAUCCUGCCCUCCUUGUCAUCUGCUGUACCACGUGCACAGUACAGGGAUCCAGAAAAGGAGGCUGGUUGCCAAGGCAACAGAGGAUAAAGCCCUUGCUCUGCCAGGCUGCUGAUUGGCUAAGACAGGUCCCACCUCCUGCCAUUCUGAGAGUGGGGAGUAGAGAGAAGGGUCUCAGAUGGGCAGGGAGAGGUACCAGUGUGCUAAGCCAGCUGAGGACUGCCCCCACUUGGCCCACUCAGAGCCGGAGAAGCUCUGUCUCCCAAGGGGGGCGUUGGCUUCGCCCUAUCUCUGCCUCCAGCACCCAGAGCGGCCACAGAUGGCAGUGUCCCUGGGGACAGCAGCUGCGACUGAGUCUACAGGCCGAUGCUGAGCUGCUCAGGCCGAGGCCGUGUGCUCAGCAUAGAGCCCCCUGGAACAGGCAACCGCAGGGCGUGAGGUGGG